GCCCCAGUGGUACAAUGGUUAAAGUACUUGGCUGCUAACCAAAAGGUUGGUGGUUUGAACCCACCCGGCAGCU
RNAcentral lists this transfer RNA (73 nucleotides) under Loxodonta africana (African savanna elephant). It matches the Rfam family "tRNA". From Rfam's summary of the family: Transfer RNA (tRNA) molecules are approximately 80 nucleotides in length. Lineage: Eukaryota; Metazoa; Chordata; Mammalia; Proboscidea; Elephantidae. The record is from Rfam by way of RNAcentral.